RNAcentral lists this ribosomal RNA (253 nucleotides) under uncultured bacterium. RNAcentral's name for it is "partial 16S ribosomal RNA". It matches the Rfam family "Bacterial small subunit ribosomal RNA", at positions 524 to 776 of the family's 1533-position model. The record is from RNAcentral.
UACGUAGGGUGCAAGCGUUGUCCGGAAUUAUUGGGCGUAAAGAGCUCGUAGGCGGUCUGUCGCGUCGGCUGUGAAAUCCCGAGGCUCAACCUCGGGUCUGCAGUCGAUACGGGCAAACUUGAGUGUUGCAGGGGAGACUGGAAUUCCUGGUGUAGCGGUGAAAUGCGCAGAUAUCAGGAGGAACACCGGUGGCGAAGGCGGGUCUCUGGGCAGUAACUGACGCUGAGGAGCGAAAGCGUGGGGAGCGAACAGG